Molecule: ribosomal RNA, 520 nt
Filed under: uncultured Glomus
Lineage: Eukaryota; Fungi; Glomeromycota; Glomeromycetes; Glomerales; Glomeraceae
Description: SSU rRNA
Rfam family: Eukaryotic small subunit ribosomal RNA
Source: RNAcentral
AGCAGCCGCGGUAAUUCCAGCUCCAAUAGCGUAUAUUAAAGUUGUUGCAGUUAAAAAGCUCGUAGUUGAAUUUCGGGGUUAGUAAGUUGGUUGUGCCACUGGUAUGUACUGGCUUUACUGAUUCCUCCUUCUUGUAGAACCGUAAUGCCAUUAAGUUGGUGUUGCGGGGAAACAGGACUGUUACUUUGAAAAAAUUAGAGUGUUUAAAGCAAGCUAACGCUUGAAUACAUUAGCAUGGAAUAAUGAAAUAGGACGUUCGAUCCUAUUUUGUUGGUUUCUAGGAUUGACGUAAUGAUUAAUAGGGAUAGUUGGGGGCAUUAGUAUUCAAUUGUCAGAGGUGAAAUUCUUGGAUUUAUUGAAGACUAACUACUGCGAAAGCAUUUGCCAAGGAUGUUUUCAUUAAUCAAGAACGAAAGUUAGGGGAUCGAAGACGAUCAGAUACCGUCGUAGUCUUAACCAUAAACUAUGCCGACUAGGGAUCGGAUGAUGUUAAUUUUUUAAUGACUCAUUCGGCGCCUUA